This is a long non-coding RNA of Ornithorhynchus anatinus (platypus), 647 nucleotides long. RefSeq lists it as uncharacterized. Lineage: Eukaryota; Metazoa; Chordata; Mammalia; Monotremata; Ornithorhynchidae. The transcript is spliced from 3 exons. The record is from RefSeq and is a predicted model, not a curated record.
GGCCAUUUUGGAAAAAACAUCAUUAUCUUCAACGUGCUCCAAGCAGCGUCUAUGCUGGCUCUCGAAGUGUACAACCUCUAACAUUUGAUGCCUUGCUCCCCACAAAAAACGGACUCUUCUGACUCUCCAGCUGAGUGUUAACAGGGCACGUCGAGAAGAUUCAGUGCAUCAUUGGAAAAUAACUGCUACGAGAUAGCUGUUGGAACAAAACAGUGAUAAAGGAUCAACAAAUUCUGGCCAACAGGCCAGAUAUUCUUCUGUUUGAUAAACUUGUUCAAACAGUGGAGCUGAUUCAUGUUGCUGUUCCGCUAACUAGAGAUAUUCUCAGAACAUAUGCAGGGAAGAUAAAUAAAUAUGGGAAUCUGGUAAAAGAGCUGAAACAAAUGUGGAGAUUGAGGUACAUCAAAGUAAAGCCAAUUUCCAUCUUGGCAACUUGGGUGGCUCCUCAUACGCUAAACAUCUUAAAGAACUGAGGAUUCAUUAUAUGCUGGCAUCAAGUCAAGGAGAGGCAUUUCUGGAUACUAGAACUUCUCUAUCUCAACCAUAAAUAAUUAUGAUAUACUAAACUAAUACCUCUAUAGCUAUAAUUUAAUAAACUAAGAUUAAUUUGGAGAGAAAUAUAAUAAUCUUUUUUCUAUAUUUGUCUG